Molecule: ribosomal RNA, 496 nt
Filed under: uncultured bacterium
Lineage: Bacteria
Description: partial 16S ribosomal RNA
Rfam family: Bacterial small subunit ribosomal RNA
Source: RNAcentral
AUGAACGCUGGCGGCGUGCCUAAUCCAUGCAAGUCGAGCGAACAGACGAGGAGCUUGCUCCUCUGACGUUAGCGGCGGACGGGUGAGUAACACGUGGAUAACCUACCUAUAAGACUGGGAUAACUUCGGGAAACCGGAGCUAAUACCGGAUAAUAUAUUGAACCGCAUGGUUCAAUAGUGAAAGACGGUUUUGCUGUCACUUAUAGAUGGAUCCGCGCCGCAUUAGCUAGUUGGUAAGGUAACGGCUUACCAAGGCAACGAUGCGUAGCCGACCUGAGAGGGUGAUCGGCCACACUGGAACUGAGACACGGUCCAGACUCCUACGGGAGGCAGCAGUAGGGAAUCUUCCGCAAUGGGCGAAAGCCUGACGGAGCAACGACGCGUGAGUGAUGAAGGUCUUCGGAUCGUAAAACUCUGUUAUUAGGGAAGAACAAAUGUGUAAGUAACUAUGCACGUCUUGACGGUACCUAAUCAGAAAGCCACGGCUAACUACGUG